AGCGUACACGGUGGAUGCCCUGGCAGUCAGAGGCGAUGAAGGACGUGCUAAUCUGCGAUAAGCGUCGGUAAGGUGAUAUGAACCGUUAUAACCGGCGAUUUCCGAAUGGGGAAACCCAGUGUGUUUCGACACACUAUCAUUAACUGAAUCCAUAGGUUAAUGAGGCGAACCGGGGGAACUGAAACAUCUAAGUACCCCGAGGAAAAGAAAUCAACCGAGAUUCCCCCAGUAGCGGCGAGCGAACGGGGAGCAGCCCAGAGCCUGAAUCAGUGUGUGUGUUAGUGGAAGCGUCUGGAAAGGCGCGCGAUACAGGGUGACAGCCCCGUACACAAAAAUGCACAUGCUGUGAGCUCGAUGAGUAGGGCGGGACACGUGGUAUCCUGUCUGAAUAUGGGGGGACCAUCCUCCAAGGCUAAAUACUCCUGACUGACCGAUAGUGAACCAGUACCGUGAGGGAAAGGCGAAAAGAACCCCGGCGAGGGGAGUGAAAAAGAACCUGAAACCGUGUACGUACAAGCAGUGGGAGCACGCUUAGGCGUGUGACUGCGUACCUUUUGUAUAAUGGGUCAGCGACUUAUAUUCUGUAGCAAGGUUAACCGAAUAGGGGAGCCGAAGGGAAACCGAGUCUUAACUGGGCGUUAAGUUGCAGGGUAUAGACCCGAAACCCGGUGAUCUAGCCAUGGGCAGGUUGAAGGUUGGGUAACACUAACUGGAGGACCGAACCGACUAAUGUUGAAAAAUUAGCGGAUGACUUGUGGCUGGGGGUGAAAGGCCAAUCAAACCGGGAGAUAGCUGGUUCUCCCCGAAAGCUAUUUAGGUAGCGCCUCGUGAAUUCAUCUCCGGGGGUAGAGCACUGUUUCGGCAAGGGGGUCAUCCCGACUUACCAACCCGAUGCAAACUGCGAAUACCGGAGAAUGUUAUCACGGGAGACACACGGCGGGUGCUAACGUCCGUCGUGAAGAGGGAAACAACCCAGACCGCCAGCUAAGGUCCCAAAGUCAUGGUUAAGUGGGAAACGAUGUGGGAAGGCCCAGACAGCCAGGAUGUUGGCUUAGAAGCAGCCAUCAUUUAAAGAAAGCGUAAUAGCUCACUGGUCGAGUCGGCCUGCGCGGAAGAUGUAACGGGGCUAAACCAUGCACCGAAGCUGCGGCAGCGACGCUKAUGCGUUGUUGGGUAGGGGAGCGUUCUGUAAGCCUGCGAAGGUGUGCUGUGAGGCAUGCUGGAGGUAUCAGAAGUGCGAAUGCUGACAUAAGUAACGAUAAAGCGGGUGAAAAGCCCGCUCGCCGGAAGACCAAGGGUUCCUGUCCAACGUUAAUCGGGGCAGGGUGAGUCGACCCCUAAGGCGAGGCCGAAAGGCGUAGUCGAUGGGAAACAGGUUAAUAUUCCUGUACUUGGUGUUACUGCGAAGGGGGGACGGAGAAGGCUAUGUUGGCCGGGCGACGGUUGUCCCGGUUUAAGCGUGUAGGCUGGUUUUCCAGGCAAAUCCGGAAAAUCAAGGCUGAGGCGUGAUGACGAGGCACUACGGUGCUGAAGCAACAAAUGCCCUGCUUCCAGGAAAAGCCUCUAAGCAUCAGGUAACAUCAAAUCGUACCCCAAACCGACACAGGUGGUCAGGUAGAGAAUACCAAGGCGCUUGAGAGAACUCGGGUGAAGGAACUAGGCAAAAUGGUGCCGUAACUUCGGGAGAAGGCACGCUGAUAUGUAGGUGARGUCCCUCGCGGAUGGAGCUGAAAUCAGUCGAAGAUACCAGCUGGCUGCAACUGUUUAUUAAAAACACAGCACUGUGCAAACACGAAAGUGGACGUAUACGGUGUGACGCCUGCCCGGUGCCGGAAGGUUAAUUGAUGGGGUUAGCCGCAAGGCGAAGCUCUUGAUCGAAGCCCCGGUAAACGGCGGCCGUAACUAUAACGGUCCUAAGGUAGCGAAAUUCCUUGUCGGGUAAGUUCCGACCUGCACGAAUGGCGUAAUGAUGGCCAGGCUGUCUCCACCCGAGACUCAGUGAAAUUGAACUCGCUGUGAAGAUGCAGUGUACCCGCGGCAAGACGGAAAGACCCCGUGAACCUUUACUAUAGCUUGACACUGAACAUUGAGCCUUGAUGUGUAGGAUAGGUGGGAGGCUUUGAAGUGUGGACGCCAGUCUGCAUGGAGCCGACCUUGAAAUACCACCCUUUAAUGUUUGAUGUUCUAACGUUGACCCGUAAUCCGGGUUGCGGACAGUGUCUGGUGGGUAGUUUGACUGGGGCGGUCUCCUCCUAAAGAGUAACGGAGGAGCACGAAGGUUGGCUAAUCCUGGUCGGACAUCAGGAGGUUAGUGCAAUGGCAUAAGCCAGCUUGACUGCGAGCGUGACGGCGCGAGCAGGUGCGAAAGCAGGUCAUAGUGAUCCGGUGGUUCUGAAUGGAAGGGCCAUCGCUCAACGGAUAAAAGGUACUCCGGGGAUAACAGGCUGAUACCGCCCAAGAGUUCAUAUCGACGGCGGUGUUUGGCACCUCGAUGUCGGCUCAUCACAUCCUGGGGCUGAAGUAGGUCCCAAGGGUAUGGCUGUUCGCCAUUUAAAGUGGUACGCGAGCUGGGUUUAGAACGUCGUGAGACAGUUCGGUCCCUAUCUGCCGUGGGCGCUGGAGAACUGAGGGGGGCUGCUCCUAGUACGAGAGGACCGGAGUGGACGCAUCACUGGUGUUCGGGUUGUCAUGCCAAUGGCACUGCCCGGUAGCUAAAUGCGGAAGAGAUAAGUGCUGAAAGCAUCUAAGCACGAAACUUGCCCCGAGAUGAGUUCU
RNAcentral lists this ribosomal RNA (2775 nucleotides) under Escherichia coli. RNAcentral's name for it is "bacterial LSU rRNA". The record is from RNAcentral. Lineage: Bacteria; Pseudomonadati; Pseudomonadota; Gammaproteobacteria; Enterobacterales; Enterobacteriaceae.